GAUGAACGCUGGCGGCGUGCCUAAUACAUGCAAGUCGAGCGAACAGAUGAGGAGCUUGCUCCUCUGACGUUAGCGGCGGACGGGUGAGUAACACGUGGAUAACCUACCUAUCAGACUUGGAUAACUUCGGGAAACCGGAGCUAAUACCGGAUAAUAUAUUGAACCGCAUGGUUCAUUAGUGAAAGACGGUUUUGCUUUCACUUAUAGAUGGAUCCGCGCCGCAUUAGCUAGUUGGUAAGGUAACGGCUUACCAAGGCAACGAUGCGUAGCCGACCUGAGAGGGUGAUAGGCCACACUGGAACUGAGACAAGGUCAAGACUCCUACGGGAGGCAGCAGUAGGGAAGCUUCCGCAAUGGGCGAAAGACUGACGGAGCAACGCCGCGUGAGUGAUGAAGGUCUUCGGAUCGUAAAAAUCUGUUAUUAGGGAAGAACAAAUGUGUAAGUAACUAUGCACGUCUUGACGGUACCUAAUCAGAAAGCCACGGCUAACUACGUG
Molecule: ribosomal RNA, 497 nt
Filed under: uncultured bacterium
Lineage: Bacteria
Description: partial 16S ribosomal RNA
Rfam family: Bacterial small subunit ribosomal RNA
Source: RNAcentral